UGGGGAAUUUUGGACAAUGGGCGCAAGCCUGAUCCAGCAAUGCCGCGUGCAGGAUGAAGGCCUUCGGGUUGUAAACUGCUUUUGUACGGAACGAAAAGACUCUCUCUAAUACAGGGGGUUGAUGACGGUACCGUAAGAAUAAGCACCGGCUAACUACGUGCCAGCAGCCGCGGUAAUACGUAGGGUGCAAGCGUUAAUCGGAAUUACUGGUCGUAAAGCGUGCGCAGGCGGUUAUGUAAGACAGAUGUGAAAUCCCCGGGCUCAACCUGGGAACUGCAUUUGUGACUGCAUAGCUAAGGUACGGUAGAGGGGGAUGGAAUUCCGAGUGUAGCAGUGAAAUGCAUAGAUAUGCGGAGGAACACCGAUGGCGAAGGCAAUCCCCUGGACCUGUACUGACGCUCAUGCACGAAAGCUUGGGGAGCAAAC
RNAcentral lists this ribosomal RNA (426 nucleotides) under uncultured bacterium. Its description in RNAcentral is "bacterial SSU rRNA". It matches the Rfam family "Bacterial small subunit ribosomal RNA", at positions 355 to 773 of the family's 1533-position model. The record is from RNAcentral.